CUGGCUCAGGACGAACGCUGGCGGCGUGCUUAACACAUGCAAGUUGAACGGUAUGACAUGGAAGCUUGCUGAAGUGUCAUAUAGUAGCGGACGGGUGAGUAAUGCAUGAGAAGCUGCCAUUGGGAGGGGGACAACAGUUGGAAACGGCUGCUAAUACCCCGUAUGCCGGAGGGUGAAAGGGAGUAAUCCGCCCGAUGAGGUGCUCAUGUCCUAUCAGCUGGUUGGUGGGGUAACGGCCUACCAAGGCGACGACGGGUAGCCGGCCUGAGAGGGUGAACGGCCACACUGGAACUGAGAUACGGUCCAGACUCCUACGGGAGGCAGCAGUGGGGAAUAUUGGGCAAAAUGGGGGCAACCCUGACCCAGCGACGCCGCGUGGGGGAAGACGGCCUUCGGGUUGUAAACCUCUUUUGUACGGGAAGAAGGAAGUGACGGUACUGUACGAAUAAGUCCCGGCUAACUACGUGCCAGCCGCUGC
RNAcentral lists this ribosomal RNA (478 nucleotides) under uncultured bacterium. RNAcentral's name for it is "bacterial SSU rRNA". It matches the Rfam family "Bacterial small subunit ribosomal RNA", at positions 19 to 518 of the family's 1533-position model. The record is from RNAcentral.